GUGAACGUGUCACGGACGGAAGGUUGUAUAUAAUUACACGACUGAUGCAGUCAGCUGGGCAGUUAUAUUCCAUAACAUUACGCAAGCGCUCCAGGACCCGGUGAGAUUAACUGAGUCAGAUUUACGUUCCCAAACAAGCCGCAGCAACGUAUAUAUAACACUGGUCAACCGAGACGGACAGUGGUAUAUAAAGCGCCCGUGAUGGUCACAGCUCACAGGCAAUCACAGCUGUCGUUUGCAAGGAGGACCAAGUCCCGGUAUAUGCGUACGGAGUCCAGUGGUUAACUUCACUCUGCCCCGAAUACAGACUUAAAGGGGCUCAGCAGCCUUCUGUUUAAAGAGACAUGACGGCGUUCUUCACUGCUGGCGCAAGACAUGAAUAGAGCGAUGACGUUGCUAAUGGCGCCAAGGUCAUGCCAGUGGAGCAGGCGACUUCCACGUAACCUAUCACCUUGUAGCAAGCCUUAGGACACGCGAUCUGGUGCUGCCGCCCUCGAAGUCAACGCCGCCCUCGAAGUCAACGCCGCCCUCGAAGUCAACGCCGGCCUCACCAAUCGGCAAACCAGUUUAUGCUUGCAGAAUUGAGUCGUGUGUUGUCGUUAUGCUUUGUCCAGACAGAACACUAGUUGAGUUACCUCCUUGCUCAGAUGCGAGGUAAACCAGACUCUCUACACUUACAUUGGCUGAGACCCUUAUGGAACCUUAUUGUCUGGAGACACCAGUACACAUCAGUCAUGAAAUAACUGUCAGCUUGUUCUGUCAAUGUGAUGGUGAUGUGGAGUUGUGCACAGGACACAGAACUGUGAUAUUUCUAACAGUUUAAUGAAGACUCAAAGGAUUGGCUCACAGUUUAUCAGCGAGCGGAAGCCCCUGCUUGACCGAGUGACGUACAUAGAUCAGUCUGGGUUCCUGGCUACCUAUCUAUGGACGUGGACACUUCAUCCCGGCAACUAACUACGCUGGCCAGAUGUUAUCAGUUGAUGACGGACCGAGGAAUGUGGCUAUUGGUCAUCCCAAGGCAGCGGUCAGUAUGUCCUGUCUGGACGGUUGUUGGGUAAUAAUUAUCACCAGAUUGACAUACAUCGGAAAUAUCUCUUGCCAGUGUGGUUAGAAUACACCCAGUGUUCAAUUAAAGGUAUAUAUACUUAACUGAAAGUCCACAAGGCUAAACGAUUGAAGCUGUGCUGUAGGUUUCUUGUAUUGCGGACAGUACUAGCUGUCAUCUAGUUGAUAGUGUUCACGUGCAAGAAAACUAUGUUGUGACGUUAAAAAGGCACUGAGAGUUUGGCACCGACCAAUUGAUAUUCUAGGGAUGGGGGUGAUGGGCUUUUAUCGAAAAAAUAUUGUCCCAGAAAAUUCUUGAAAAAAAUGAGUUUAUCUUGCAUACUGAAAAAAGAAAAUAUCUACCACAAAAAUACAUUGUUGCAAGGUGUUUUCUGAGAAAAAUAUUCAGGCUCAUAGUUUUAAUUUACAAAUAUCUGGUUUUGCAACUGUAGCAGAAAAAAUAUGUAAUCUGGAGACUCAGUCCAAGUCUUCUAAACCUCCAACCCCAAUCCCCUGAAUAUCGGUCCCCCCAGUGUAGAUUUGUGUGGAAUAUGGGUUACCAAGCAACGUGACUCUGUAUGCGGGUGUAUGAUUUUAAUCAACUAUAGGAAAAAUAAUACGAGAAAGAAUAGUUGUACCAUGUUUAAUAUAUACUAUUUUAGGGAAUAUGUAAACAACCCCAUGUGUUGGAAUGAGAACGGAAAUCUGUGUACAGAAAUAUAACGGACAUGGUGUAUCAAUAGAAAUUAAAGUCUUGUGUAGUAGUGACGUAGCCGUCUUUUGGGUGACGGUAGGCGUCUUUUGGCUGACGUUGGCGUCUUUUGGCUGACGUUGGCGUCUUUUGGCUGACGUUGGCGUCUUUUGGGAUGUUUGCUAAUUGGUGGAAUCAGCAGGGCAGGCAAGACUGGCUAUGACCAUACACAGAAAGCUGCUGAGUUUUAAUGGGUGGAGGCAGUGAGAUGCACAACCAUAAUACAACAAUACGCGUACAACACGUACGUCAAUCAUCAUGAUCAUACAGAAUGUAUACACACGGAAACAUAAUGACAUUGUACGUUAAUACAACAAUACGCGUACAACACGUACGUCAAUCAUCAUGAUCAUACAGAAUGUAUAAACACGGAAACAUAAUGACAUUGAUAUACUGUAGAUAAACAGACAACUAUAUAAUACUAACGUAACAUUAACUUGUAACUAACUGUAGCUUUGUCUCUUUCUCGUCUUUAUUCAAUGGAGUGACGUAGCGUGUCUUUUGGGUGACAUAGACGUCCUUUGGGUGUUACUUCUUAAUCGGGGGAAUUAGCGGUAGUAGAGGUCACGACUGGCUAUCACCUUGAAGAACAGAGAAGGCUGUUGAGUUGAUGGCGUUUAUUCGUUGGAGGUAGAGUGAAGUACAUUUAAUUAUAAUGACAAGAUAAUAUGAUACGUGUGCAACACGUGUUAAGAGGAAGAGUCACAUUCAUAUAAUCGUAUACAUAUAAUUAUAAUAAUUCGAUACGUGAACAACACGUAUGAACGGUAUGAUCAUGAUAAUAUAAUCUGCAUACAACAGAUAAUGACAUGACUAUAUAGACGUACAAUAUAUUGUAUUUUAAGGUUUAACAGGUGGUUAUGAAAAGGCAUUUAUUACGAGAAAAUAUGUCUGGUAGAAAACAGUACAUGGGCUCCCGCUGUCACGCGUGGAUAUUUAACAACAUACUGUUAUAACAGACAAUAUAAUAUAAUGUUGGCCGACUCAGUUUUCAUUGCUACUAAGUUGCAGGCAAAUCAUUAUGAGUGUCACUGAAUGUAGGAACGUACUUGGUUAUUGACAUUGGUGCACAUACUCAUAUUGGGAUGUUGCCGUGCAACUAGUAUGCUAAUAUACAAAAAUAUACGUUCGCGAAAGGCAGUAUUGUCUGGAUAUUAAGUCAAUGAUAGUUUUCAUAACGCUACGAUAUAGUCGAAAUAGAUCUUACCUACACCUAACGUAUUACGAUCGUAGCUGACAGGAUGUUAACAUUUAAGUCAAUAGUGUCUUACCUUGAAGAACAGAAGGCUACUGAGUUGAUGGCGUUUAUUCGGUGGAAGCAGAGUGACAUACAUAAAAUCAUAAUAACAAUCCGAUACGCGUGCAACACGUGUACACAGGCAGUCAUAUACAUAUAAUCAUAACAAUCCGAUACGUGUACAACAUGUAUGGCCAUGAUAAUGAUGUCAUCAAUAUAUAUAUGUCUUACAUUUGUUUGCAUAACUAUCUGACCAGCACCAUGAGAAAUGUUGAACCCGUCGGAUAUGCGUUAUCGGGUUGACCCAUGGCAGUCUAAAUAUAAUGGAACGUGGUCGUUAGUAACAAUCCUUUAUUUCACAUUUUCCAAUUCUUAAUGUCAUUUAACGUGAUUAAAUGUUUGUCCAUUUCCCCAUCUUAAUAACAAACAUGUUUCAGAAUAUAAAGAUAGAGCCGACUCAUGUUUCAUUGUUACUAAGUUGCAGACAUUGUUCUGACUAUCUCUGAAUGUAGGAACCUGCUAGUUAUUGACAUUGGUACUCAUACUAAUAUUGGGAUAUUGCCGUGCGAAUAGUAAGCUAAUGUAUUAUGCAUAAAAUGAUCGCAAGAGGAAGUUUUGUUAACGAGAUAUUUACCCAUAACUUGCACCACGCUACGAUAUAGUCCAAACAUAAUCUAAACCUAACGUACUAUGAUCGUAGAUAGCAGAAUAAGUUAAUAUCUAAAGUCAAUAGAUUCUUAUCUUGAAAAACAAAAGGCUGCUGAGUUCUUGGCGUUUUCAUCGGUGGAAGCAGAGUGCAUUUGCUACCACCGACCGCCGUACCUGAUAUAAUUAACCUUAUGACCUAUAUAAUAACCUUGAACGGUUUGUUUGGUCUAGGCUGAUUAUAAUACCUAGAAUUUGUUGUCUGGGAAUAAGCUUGGGACAGCACUCCUUAAAACAACCUAGAGAAGCAUCUGUUAGUGGCCAGUCUUUAUUUGGUGGAUCUCAUCAGUGAGGAACCCGUUUUGGCUUGUGUGGGCGUGGUCCCGUUUUGCCUUGUGUGGGCGU
RNAcentral lists this long non-coding RNA (4082 nucleotides) under Haliotis rufescens (red abalone). RNAcentral describes it as "uncharacterized LOC124148965". The record is from RNAcentral. Lineage: Eukaryota; Metazoa; Mollusca; Gastropoda; Lepetellida; Haliotidae.